This 421-nucleotide ribosomal RNA is filed under the name Methanoculleus palmolei. RNAcentral's name for it is "partial 16S ribosomal RNA". The record is from RNAcentral. Lineage: Archaea; Methanobacteriati; Methanobacteriota; Methanomicrobia; Methanomicrobiales; Methanomicrobiaceae.
UGUGGGCGAGUUGCAGCCCACAAUCCGAACUAAGGAUGGGUUUAGGAGAUUGCCUUCACCUUUCGGUGUCGAUACCCAUUGUCCCACCCAUUGUAGCCCGCGUGUAGCCCGGACAAUUCGGGGCAUGCUGACCUACCGUUGCCCAUUCCUUCCUCCUCUUUAGCAGAGGCGGUCCCAACAGUGUCCUCUCCAUCCCGGAGGACGAGCUAGCAACUGUUGGCGUGGGUCUCGCUCGUUGCCUGACUUAACAGGAUGCUUCACAGUACGAACUGACGACGGCCAUGCACCUCCUCUCAGCUAGUCAAGUAGAGUCUUCAGCCCGACUAUCAUUCAGCUGUCUUGUCCGGUGAGUUUCCCGGCGUUGAGUCCGAUUAAACCGCAGGCUCCACCCGUUGUGGUGCUCCCCCGCCAAUUCCUUUAA